This 339-nucleotide long non-coding RNA is filed under the name Panax ginseng (ginseng). RNAcentral's name for it is "long non-coding RNA (PGIN_LNC019210)". The record is from RNAcentral. Lineage: Eukaryota; Viridiplantae; Streptophyta; Magnoliopsida; Apiales; Araliaceae.
UUCAAUAUCAGUAAAAUGAACCUAAACAGUGAAUCAGUUAAGACAUAUAAUAGUUAAUGUAUGAGACGAAGUGAAUUGAAUUUCAUGGACAGAAUUUAACUUAACUGAACUAAAAGGACUGAACUCAACACUUAAAUAAAAUAAAGUAAUACAUACUCAUCGGUUCCGAAGUGUGAGAUCGGUCAUUUGUUUACCACUCGGGGUGAAACAAUUAUAUAAGGACCAAGAUAUAAGGAUCAAGAUAUAAGGGCCAAUUGUGACCAUUGACUUACCACCCUGGUGAAAUCAAUAUAGGAUCCUUUGUCUACCACUCGGGGUAGAACAACAAAUGGGCUGCCA